This 228-nucleotide ribosomal RNA is filed under the name uncultured bacterium. Its description in RNAcentral is "partial 16S ribosomal RNA". It matches the Rfam family "Bacterial small subunit ribosomal RNA", at positions 15 to 224 of the family's 1533-position model. The record is from RNAcentral.
GAUCAUGGCUCAGGACGAACGCUGGCGGCGUGCUUAACACAUGCAAGUCGAACGAGAAUCUGUGGAACGAGGAUUCGUCCAAGUGAAGCAGAGGACAGUGGCGGACGGGUGAGUAACGCGUGAGGAACCUGCCUUUCAGGAGGGGACAACAGUUGGAAACGACUGCUAAUACCGCAUGACACAUAGAUGUCGCAUGGCAUUUAUGUCAAAGUAUUUAUCGCUAGAAAG